RNAcentral lists this ribosomal RNA (616 nucleotides) under uncultured Legionella sp. RNAcentral's name for it is "bacterial SSU rRNA". It matches the Rfam family "Bacterial small subunit ribosomal RNA", at positions 242 to 849 of the family's 1533-position model. Lineage: Bacteria; Pseudomonadati; Pseudomonadota; Gammaproteobacteria; Legionellales; Legionellaceae. The record is from RNAcentral.
UAGCUAGUUGGUAGGGUAAGGGCCUACCAAGGCGACGAUCGUUAGCUGGUCUGAGAGGAUGGCCAGCCACACUGGAACUGAGACACGGUCCAGACUCCUACGGGAGGCAGCAGUGGGGAAUAUUGGACAAUGGGGGCAACCCUGAUCCAGCAAUGCCGCGUGUGUGAAGAAGGCCUGAGGGUUGUAAAGCACUUUCAGUGGGGAGGAGGAUUGAUUGGUUAAGAGCUGAUUGAUUGGACGUUACCCACAGAAGAAGCACCGGCUAACUCCGUGCCAGCAGCCGCGGUAAUACUGAGGGUGCAAGCGUUAAUCGGAAUUACUGGGCGUAAAGGGUGCGUAGGUGGUUUGAUGAGUUAUCUGUGAAAGCCCUGGGCUCAACCUGGGAAGGCCAGAUAAGACUGUUGGACUCGAGUAUGGGAGAGGGUAGUGGAAUUUCCGGUGUAGCGGUGAAAUGCGUAGAGAUCGGAAGGAACACCAGUGGCGAAGGCGGCUACCUGGCCUAAUACUGACACUGAGGCACGAAAGCGUGGGGAGCAAACAGGAUUAGAUACCCUGGUAGUCCACGCUGUAAACGAUGUCAACUAGCUGUUGGCCUUACGAAUGAGGUUAGUGGCGC